ACUUGCCUACGGGGGGCAGCAGUGAGGAAUAUUGGUCAAUGGGCGGGAGCCUGAACCAGCCAAGUCGCGUGAGGGAUGACGGUCCUACGGAUUGUAAACCUCUUUUGCCGGGGAGCAAGCGUGCGUUCGUGAACGCGCGUCGAGAGUACCCGGAGAAAAAGCAUCGGCUAACUCCGUGCCAGCAGCCGCGGUAAUACGGAGGAUGCGAGCGUUAUCCGGAUUUAUUGGGUUUAAAGGGUGCGUAGGCGGGAUGCCAAGUCAGCGGUAAAAUUUCGGGGCUGCACCCCCCCGCGCC
This 295-nucleotide ribosomal RNA is filed under the name uncultured bacterium. RNAcentral's name for it is "partial 16S ribosomal RNA". It matches the Rfam family "Bacterial small subunit ribosomal RNA", at positions 333 to 625 of the family's 1533-position model. The record is from RNAcentral.